AGUUAUUAGUUUUGUUAAACAAUAGAUUUUGAAAAUCUAUAAUAAAUGUUGAAUUCAUUUAAUAACUU
This 68-nucleotide transfer RNA is filed under the name Dinobdella ferox. RNAcentral's name for it is "tRNA-Ser". The record is from RNAcentral. Lineage: Eukaryota; Metazoa; Annelida; Clitellata; Hirudinida; Hirudinidae.